RNAcentral lists this ribosomal RNA (93 nucleotides) under uncultured bacterium. RNAcentral's name for it is "partial 16S ribosomal RNA". It matches the Rfam family "Bacterial small subunit ribosomal RNA", at positions 1390 to 1482 of the family's 1533-position model. The record is from RNAcentral.
CCGCCCGUCACACCAUGGGAGUUGACUGCACCAGAAGCAGGUAGCCUAACCGCAAGGAUGGCGCCUACCACGGUGUGGUCAAUGACUGGGGUG